GGUCACCUCUGUCCCCAGAGUCCUAGCUGUGACUCACUUGCUUUCUUGCUUCCCUGGCAAUGAACAAUACUACCUUCCUCAGCAGGUCCUGUGAAGGAGCAACGAUUUAAUGUGUGUGAAAGAGCCUUGGGUGGGGCCCGGCACGCAGUGGGCCCUCUUUGUCCCGCCCAUGGGUGGGGCCCAGCACACAGUUGGCCUUCGGAAGUACCGCCCAUGGCUCUCUGUCAGUCUCAGAGGGGCAGGUGACCUAGGAUUCCCUAUGAGAGAUAGAGCGGGCUCAUCUUUCAUGGGGGCCUUGAUGGGGGGUGAUGGUGUCUUAACUGGAGAAUUUGCAAAGGCCAGUAGGAGGUGCACCCAGGACCAUAGGGAGGUUGAACCAAGGACAGCUGCCCACAGCAGGUCACAGCCUGGGUCCUGCUAUCCUGAAAGCUGAUUUGGUUGCCCUCCGAAACCUCGUUAUGUAAAUCAGCAGUGGAGUACGCACUCUCAGUGCACCCAGUGGGUGACGCUGCCACGUCCAGGACACUGGACUGGAGCCACCUUUACAGAACCGGUUUGAAAUCAAACAGUGCCGUGGCACACAAGCCAGCUGAGCCAGAGGUGUCCAUGGCCAAGAGGGCCAAAGGCCGAAGGACCAGGGCAGACAAUGGUACAUAUGGGGGAGCUGGCCCUUGUCUACCAGGGAGCUAGAAGGUGACCAAUGGACCUGUGCCAGCCCGGGGAGCAUGUAGCUAUCGCUCCUCACCUUGGAGGUGAGGAGACUGACGAGCCCUCACGGCCAGUCAAGGGCAGGGCUCCGCAUGGGAUUCUGGACCAGCCCAUCUACUCCAGCAUCGCUGCCGAGUCCCUGACAAGCCUUUCUCCACAUCUCUGCAGUGUGAACACCCAGGCGCCUCCAUUCAGGCCUGGCUCAGUAGCCAAACGAGUCUAGUGAUGUCAUCGUUGCCAUGGAAACUCUCCCCAGGCGUCAGGCAGGACCAACCUCCCCUGUGCCGUUUCCCUUUGUGUGGACUUUGCAAUGCGUUGCCAAGGCAGUGAGGCCUGCUGGGUGAGUUGGCACAGGGCAGGGAAGGCAGACAAAACCCCACACUGCAUCCCAGAAACCACCACUCACAACACAACAGGAGAGACGGGGCAAAGGGGUGGAGGGAGGGCUGCAGUCUGCAAUCCCUGGUCUGGGGGGAGGGGUGUGGCAGUUUAAGGGGAGAGGGAGACCUGUUCAGGACCCCUGAUGCCAAUGGCCUUUGAGCAUUAUUAGUGGGAUCCUGUCCCCUGGAUCUGCUAGGCCUGGAUCUUGUGACAGGGCAGACAAGCUUGGCAGGGGGUGGGGAGUUUUGAGUGCAGGUCGCUCUGAGAAUCAUUGCUGAAGAAAGAAACCCGUGGAAUACAUUAGCUGUGUUAGCCUCUCCUGUCUCUCAGGAGCCUCAUGGCAGUUCUGGGGAAGCGCACAGAUGAAGCCGGGUGCCUUUUGUGCUUUGAGUUCUGUUAUCAUCCGUGGUGGUGUGGGAUUUGGGUUUCUUUCAAACACUGUAUAGCUCGUUGACCUUGACCUUGAAAUCCCCCUGUCUCUGCCUCCAGAGUGCUGAAACCGCAGGUGUGUGCCGCUAUCCCCGUCUGGUUCACUUCUUUGUGUUUCUUAUUGCUUGCCCCUGGUUACCUGUAGGAGCCUAACACAGUUUAGAUUCAAAAUGGGGAGGUCCAAGGUCCCACCCCGAGGCCUCUUCAGUUCAGGUUGGCCCCACAGCCUGGAAUCUAUUGGUUUUACAGAAAGAAUCCAGUCUACCUUCGUAGAGUAAUCCUGCUCCGUGUAUCAGGCCCUCCAACACCCAGAUCUAAGCCAAGGGAUUGUCACAGAGUUGGCCCCUCCCUCCCGGCUGCCUACAGAGGCUCGGAAAGCGAUUGGCUAGUAAGGAAAGCCAGUGUCCAGGCCAGUGUCUACAGGGCCACCUCCAGCGCAGUUCACGCCACACCCUCUUUUGUCCUACAAGCUGCAGGGGCCUCUUAGCUCGGGCUCAUUUAAAAGGUUCCUGCUCCUUGCCACUGUCUGUGGCUUGGUAGCCCUUGACUCCGGGGCAUAAAAUCUCCCCUGUGCUCCUGUUCUUAGAAAUCUCCAGGAAAAAAAACUUCAUGACCUUUCCCGGCAAAUAGCAGAGUCUCCUGCUUAGGGCUGAAGACCGUGGCCUUCCUGGGUUCACACCGAGUUUUCCUGCUUUCUUGGCCAUCUUCCUCCUUAACUUCCCAGAGGGCUGAAGGGGAGGACUCCAGUUCUUUAAUCCUCUGGCCUAGGAGGAGACAGAGAUUCCCGGGUGACCUGCUGCCCUGAGCCUGGGCUCCUCCUUCUCUAGCUGUGUGUCUCUGUUGAAGGGCUACCAAGUCAGGCCCGGUUGUGAGGUGAAUAGCUACGGGGCUCCCAGGCGGUACUGGACGUACCUGCCUACAGCAGAGAGCAUCUGGACCAACCAAGAGCCAUCUCUGCCUGUCGUUCUUUCAUGAAGCAAGUAUUUCCUGACGUCUGUGCUUUGUACUCCCAAGGCUUUGCCUCCUGCUUCCAAAGGUCCCAAACAAGCCAAAGGAGAUGAAGGAAAAUGUAUGAAAAUCAGGCAACGCACCAGGACUUCUGCCCACACGGCAGCGGGGAAAACCGUGCCAUCAGCAAGGGUGGUCGGCACUAGCCCAGCCCAUGGCACUGGGACAAACACCUUUGUUCCAUUUCCCAAACUUCCCAUACUUUAAGACCGUGUUUUGCUAACAGAGAAUCCCAUGGAAUGCUAGCACAGGGCUUGAGAGCACAUGGCUUCUAGACUGCAGGAAGGGAGGCUGGAGCGGAGGUCAGCUUCGAGACCUCCUCUCCCCACCGUGGCAUGCCCAGGGCCAGUGAAAAGUGCCCCACUGGGGCUGCCAGAGGUCAGAGUCCUGGCUGGGGGUGGGGGGAGGGGGUACCCCCUGGAGACUCAGACCCCAGUUAGAAAGUCCAGGGUGACCAGUGCGCCAAGGGUAACAGAUGGAGAGUCUUACACAGGCCUUUGAACUUCCUCUUUGGCACAGUAAACCUGGAAAGCAGAGAGGGAGAAAUGAGGGUGCAGAUUGUCCGAGAGGGUGGGGUAGCCCUGUGAGCUGGCUUAGCCAAACCUCAGUUUAGUCAUCCAUAAAUGGGGACCGCAAAACGGAGAGGAUAGUUUUUGCUUGUUAUUUUAUGUGUUUUGAAAAGGGGGUCUUGUUAUAUAACCUGGAUUAACCUGGAACUCACUCUGUAGCCCAGGCUGGCAUUAAACUUUCAAUCCUCCCGCCUCAGCCUCCUGAGUGUUGGGGUUAUAGACGUAGACCACCACAUCUGGCUCCGUUGAGGGGACCGAGUGACUUAAGUGCCCUUUAGUCCCUAUCGGAUCAUGCCCCACAGACAGGGGAUUCAGGAAAUGCUUUGAAAGACCAGAUGACUGCCCAGCCGUGGCUCUUACUGACUGGGGGUUCCUCUCUCUAUCAACGGGAGUGGUAAACUCUCCCUGUGUCUGAGCAAGAAGCUCUCUCUGCUUCCAGCCUCCCUGAUCCAAGCCGUAGCUGGAAGCUCUGGCACUGUAAGCCUGAGGCUUUCUAGAUUCCGGCUUGUGAGGAUCUCUCAGAGGCCCAGGCUGUGGAAACUGCCACAACAGGUCCUCCGAGCAGCAGCCUGCCGGAACAAGAUGGAUUAUGGCUUUGUGGGGGGAAUCAGAUGCGUAAAAAGCCUGCGAAGGUCAAAUGAGAUAAAUCCACGUGGGUUGUGAUUUCCCAUCUAAAUGUUAACAUUGGCCUUGCUGAGAUAAGACCUUUGCAUUUCUGUUGCGAAUCUGUGGACUGAUUUCUUCAAAGAGAAUAACCAGGGUUUAAUGGUGGAAAUCUGGGACCCUUUGAGUGACCUGAGGUGGCACCAGGCAUGUGUGCUCUGACCAGCUGGAUCUGUGCACAGAGGCCUCCUCAGGUCCCAGUGGAUCUAGCUGAGAUUUUGGCUACAAUCUGAAGUAUGGAGUCGUGCCAGCAAUAAAGAGAACGCCUUGUAGGAGGCAAAGGGCACCCACUGGGCCCUGGGCUAGCUUGGUAAAUAUCUGCUUGUAGCCUUGUGUUUGGGGUUGAGGAGUGUAUGUGGGGUUAUCUUACCCCCUCCAAGGAAGGCCUAAGGGGAUUAGGGUUUCCAAGUCCUUGUCCCUUCCAUAAUCCGUGCCUUUGAGUCUUUAACCAAACGGGAGCCAGAGCAACAGCCAGGAUCAUGGUUUUCCAUUUUGCAAGAUGGAAACUGAGGCUACACAAGUAACUUAGUCUAGAUCCCACGGAGGCGAGGUUCCGCUUUUGAGAGCUGGGAUCUCUAAAGCAGGUUUCCCAAAGGGCUGCCUCUCCUGAUUAUGGAUUAUUAGAUAUGGAUGGUGGAAUUUCUCUCCCUCUGUAAUUUUCUUAUGUGCUUGUUUGCUUUCAAAGAGAACCUCAAUAUAUAGGUCAAGUGACAAAUGCCAUUUUAAUGUUUGUGGAAAUGGCCAAAUUGCUCCCCAGUAACAAGUAACAAUCCACUUAUACACCUAGCACCAGUUCUGAGUUCUGAGGCAGGGCCUGCAACUGUUUAGCAAGCCCCACCCAUUUCCUCUCCAACCCUGGGAUUACAACCCUGGAAAUACCCAACCUGACACCUUUACUCACAUGGGUCCUGAGCGUUGAAUUUGGGUUUUCUUGCUUGCAAGGCAAACAUUUUACCAGUGGAGCCAUUAUCCCCCAGACCCCCUUUCGUCCUUUUACUUUUCUUUUGCUUACUUAUCAUUAUUUACUCAUCUUGCCUCUGGUACAGACUCACAUAGCUCCUGGGCUAGCUUUGAACUCCUGAUCCUCCUCCAUCACCUUCCCAAAGCAGCUGGCGUUACAAGCCCGCACAUUCAGCCUUCGCUAUAUCUUAUUUUCUUUUGAGACAGAGUUUCUUUGUGUAGCCCUGGCCAUCUUGGAACUCACUCUGCAGACUUGUCUCUCUCUGUAAGAGAGUUGGCUUAGUGGUUAAGAGCAAUUGCUACUAUUCUAGGAGGCCUGGGUUCGAUUCCCAGCACCCGAAUGGCAGCUCUGGACGUAACUAAUUCCAGGGGAUUUGACAAGCUCUUCUGAAGGUACCAGGCACGCACAUUGCUCUGAGGCAUACAAGCAGGUCCUGGGGACUGAAUUCACAUCGCUGAACCUGUGUAGCCAUCACUCCUAGCUACCGAGCGAGCCCUCUAGCCACCCGCAAUGGAUGGAAACAUCUUUUAACUGACAUGUACACAUCUGAGGACUAAACCAGGAUCUUUCGUGGUAAGUAGUAGUUACCUGGGGGUAAAUGGUGGAUCCUAGAACCAGGAAGUAGAGCAGGACACAUCACCAAGAGGAGCUAAGUCGCCAGCAUGAUUGCCCUCCGACUUGACUUCAUGCACUGCCCUUUCUAUCUCUGGCUAUGGUACAGGCUUUCCAGUAAGGACAAUAGGCUGCUCGGGUGAGCCACACUAAUCCGUAAUCCCUGACCGUUUGCCACUCCCAUAGAGUGCAGCUAGACCAUGAGGCUAGCUUUACUACAAAUCAAAACAGCAGUAGUCAUCGUUCUAGACAUUCUAAGAGGAAAGGAAAGAGAAGUGGGUGUUUAAUGAGCACCUACUGGUGCCAGCCUUGUGUAUAAGGAUUCAGGACCCCGGACUGAAAGGAGUCUAAAACCUGGGUAUGAAGGGGUACAGCUGGGGGUUGGGGAUUUAGCUCAGCGGUAGAGCGCUUGCCUAGCAAGCGCAAGGAAGGCCCUGGGUUCCGUCCCCAGCUCCUAAAAAAAGAAAAAGAAAAAAAAAGAAGGGGUACAGCUGUAAUCCCAGCACUGAGACAGGACUACAAUGGGCUUUGGGCCAGCCUGAACUACACAGUGAGUUUUGGGCUAGCCAGGUCUACAUAGCAAAACCCUGUCUCAAAAGACCAAGGAGAGAAGGAGGGGAAAAAGAGGGAAAGAAUAAAAUAAAAUAAAGGAGAAAGGGAGCGGGGAGGGCAGGGAGAGAGGAGCAUGGUGUCUCAUUUGCAGUCUCAGAUCAGGGGAGCCCUUGGGCCCAGGAGAUCAAGUCAGCCUGGGUAACACAAGAGUGCAGCUCGUGUGCCUGGGGGGAGGGGGAGGACACUGUGACCUUGUUCCAAAAAAAUAAGGAGAGGGGGGUGGUGUGGUGUUAGGUUUCACAACUCUGAAUUCGAGGAGAGAGGGUUUCCUACUGAACAAGAGAAAACAACCCGGCUUGUACCUAUUUGCUUCUCCAUACUUUGUAAUUAAUAAGCCAGAGUAAUAUUUUUAGUUUUUAUUUCAAAAAGUGUCUAGGGUUGGGGAUUUAGCUCAGUGGUAGAGCGCUUGCCUAGCAAGUGCAAGGCCCUGGGUUCGGUCCCCAGCUCAAAAAAAAAAAAAAAAAAAAAAGUGUCUAAAUCCAACACCUCUUAUUAAAUAUCUCUGGUCAGAUGUCUGGAGUUCCUAGCCUCACACCUCCUGGGUCAGAGACGGCUGCUCAAAUGGUACCAGCCCCAACCUCCCAGAGGGCGAGCAAACCCCCCCCUCAGCCCCACCCUGGGGCCUCUGGGUGGAGAACUUGCAUUUCUAACCAGCUGUCCCAACGAUGUGACAUCGGUGCCGCUCUGUGCCUUGGAAUAACCCAUGUGGCUCUCUUAAGAAGGCUGGUACUUAGCUCCUGCCAAGGCGUAAUGAACCUGGCGCAGGUGGGGCAUCGGGAUUCCGAACAUGCUGGCCCGCUCAGGAACCUGAAGGUUUACAGGGAGAGGCACAGGCAGGAUUAGGGUCCCCAGGAAUUCACAGGCAGCCUCCUUGUCUUCCUCUAGUCUGCCAGACGGUGUAGCCCAGAAUGGAGGGCUGCCUUGCUUAGCCAUCCUUUCACACUGUGACUGUGACUUGGUUUUAUUUACUCUAUCUAGAAAUGGUCAUGUAUCUCAGGCUGGCCUAGAACUCUCUAAAGAUGAAUUUGAACUCCUGACCUCUCCAGGACUAAGGCUAGAGUCCUGAGCUACCUAGGCUGGUUCCUAUGCCUGUGUCUUUGAAGCCAAGCAAAGCUGUUUGCUAAUUUGAGGGGGGAAGUGUGUGGACCUGACACGGUUCCAGUUAGGCGUCUUACUGAGCAGCUGGUGUCUCUACACAAGCUUUCCCUGCGGAACAUCGGUUCUCAACAGCCCCAACACUGCAACCCUUUAAUACAGUUCCUCGUGUUGUGGCGACCCCAACCAUAAAACUGUAUCAUUGCUACUUCAUAACUGUAAUUUUGCUACUGUCAUGAAUCAUAAUGCGGAUAUCUGAUCUUUGAUCCCCUGUGGGGUCAUGACCCACAGGUUGAGAACCACAGCUGUAGAGGCUUCUGUAAGCUGCAGUCAAGCACAGCCACCUCCUCGGGUAGGCACACACCUAUCACCUUGCCGUGGUCCCUGCCAUUGCCUUGUAUGCCAAUGCCCUCCCCUGCACUGUCCAGGAUGGUACUGUUUUUAGCUGCUUUGUGCUAUGUGUACAUGUAUAGCUUACAUGUAGUGUGUGCAUGUGUGACAUGUGUGUACAUAUGUGUGUCUGUAUGUAGUAUAUGUAUAUACAUAUGUAUGCAUGUGCAUACAAAUACAUACAUGUGUAUAUGUUUGUGUAUGGUACAUGUGUGAUAUGUACAUGCACAUAUGUGGAUCCAUAUGGAGUAUAUCUGUGUACACAUGUGUACAAGUGCACGCAAGUGUAUGUGUUUGUAUACGGUGUGUGUGUGUGUGUGUGUGUGUGUGUGUGUGUGUGUGUAUGUGUGUGUGUAGGAAGAGCAAUGGGGUCAUGCCCUGUCUAGCCCACAGAAGAGAAGUGGACCUCCAUCAUCGGUUAUCUAGCCUAGGGUCUGUCACAGACUUAAAGGGUGGGAUUGAAUAGCUCUCUCACUCUCUGAGUCUGUUUCCUACUGUGCAAGGUAAAGGGUUGAGUGUGCAGAGUUUAAGUAGGUAAAGGGUUGAGUGUGCAGAGUUUAAGUAGGUAAAGGGUUGAGUGUGCAGAGUUUAAGUAGGUAAAGGGUUGAGUGUGCAGAGUUUAAGUAGUUCUUAUUUUAGGAUAAGCUGGGGGUUAGAAGGAAGGUCCUAAGUCCUGGGCAGGAGAAGUCUGGGCCCUGGGGCACGCGGAAGAGGAACUAUGGCUUACGCCUUUUCUGACCACAGGCGUGUGACACUCCCCAGUCAGAGCUGGGUUCCAAGUCUCCACCCACAGGUCAAGACUCACCUUGUUCCCAUACCCACUGUGGUGGCCGCACUGUGGAAGCGGCUAUACCCUCAAGAUCUGCGAUUCAAUGGGACCAGUCAUGUGGCUUUUUGUGUUCCUUGGCAGUAUAGCUCAGGCAGAUAACCACCCUACUGGGCCUCAGUGUUUCCAUGUGUACAAUGGGCUGGUAAUGGGCAGGCUGCUAUAGCACACAGCUGAGCUGCCCUGCUUGGAAGGGACCAUCCCAACAGUCACAGUGAGGUGGAGACAUUAAGUUGCCAAGUCUCAGCCCAGCCCUGAGGUGCAUGUCUUGAUACCAAGAACUCUGUUGCCUUCUCAAGUCCCAAUGGAGUCCGGGUUCUUUGAAAAGGAAGACUGUUCUAACCUGAUUACUAAAUGUUUCUCGGACUCCACACAAACUUGUGCCCCUUGAUCGGGUGGUCUCGUAGCCCUUGUAGUGAGUACUCUAUGCCUUGAGUCAGACAGACCUCCCCACCCCAGCCAACGGAUAACCCUGACUGAGUUAAUCUCUCAGUAAAUGGGAAGAGCUCCACAGGGUCUAAUCUGAGCUCCACACGGACAGGGUUCACUUCUCUCCUGGCAUCAAGUGCAGCGCCUGAGGACUCGAUCGAGUGAUACUGUGUGGGCACAUGGUGGCCACUGUGUUGUUUCUUGGAUUUGACUCUCUGGAUGUCUCUGUUUUGUUCCUGUGUUCUCUUGUGGCCUACCUGUGGGGACACACCCCGGGAAAUUGUGACCAGGAUUUAUCAGGCCUUUUGUCAUCACUGUUGGCUCCCACCCUAACCUCCCUGGACAAUUGCAGCACCAGAGUCCUCCGCCCCAGGGCCUGUCCCACAUCCCAACUGCUUCGUCUACUCAGAUGAGCUCAACACCCACCUACACGCGGGCAGUCACCCCACCAUUCACUCACCGACACCCUUUGAGGAGUAGCUGCUCUUCCCCACGUGCCUGCCCUGCGACCCCAGCACCUGCCUCUCAGCAUGGCACUGAGUUCCACCGACCCUGUUGGUCAAUGCUACCGCAGCAGGCUUGCCCCUCCUGGACUCACACUGGCUUCUGCUUUAAGGUGUUCUAAGUGGCUGGUGCAUCAGCCAUUGUAUGCACCUGAGAUAGAAACCCAAAACUGGACGCUACCCACAACACCCCAGCCAGGCACCCAGGCUGGAGGGUCCCCUAACUGCUCUUCAUGCCUUAUCCCUCUCAACCACUCCCUGCUUUGCACCCCACAUCCCCUUCUGGUUUCUACCAGGCACUGGUCCACCUUCCUCCCAUACCACAUCCACCCCAUCCCCAUCCCCACCCCCAGCCCCAACCCCAGCCUCCAUCCUCCUGCUGCUCCUAGGAAGCUCCACCUCCCAUCAGCCCCGAUGCCUCCCAGUUGCUGUCAAUCUAAGCUCUUGGCCUGCACGAAACGUUCCCAUGAUCUGAGGUCCUACCGUCUACCCAGCUUUCUUUCCCAGCUCCCAUAAAGCCCCCGCCCCCGCUCCCCCAUCAUUCUGGGUCUCACCUCUCUCGUUUCCUCCUCCUCCCCAGAUACCUUUCCUUCAUCCCUUAACCUAGUCAACCCUUACUCACCUUUCAAAGCCAGUCCAAAGUCACCUGCUCUAGGAAAGCCACCCACCCGCCCGCCUAGAUUACAGACUCAGACUCUUCGGCCUCGUCCCCAUUACCUGGGCGUGACCCCUUUGCUGAGCUUGCCAUGUUAUUUUAUAAUUAUUUGCUCUGUGUCUGGCUUCUCCAUUAUUAGUUUAUUGGGGGCAGACCAUGCUUACUCAUUGCUGUACCCCCCUCGCCCAAUAUUUCUGCUUUGUGAAAUCACUCAUUCUGUGUUGUAAGUGCACUAUCUCAUUUUGUUGUUGUUGUUUUAAAGAUUUAUUUAUUUUAUGUGAAUACACUGUCACUAUACUCACAAUCUUCAGACACACCAGAAGAGGGCAUCGGAUCCCAUUACAGAUGGUUGUGAGCCACCAUGUGGUUGCUGGGGAUUGAACUCAGGACCUCUGGAAGAGCAGUCAGUGCUCUUAACCCCUGAGCCAUCUCUCCAGCCCUUUGUUGGUGGUUCUGUGGAGCUGGAAUUUGGGAAGGCCAGGCACUUCUCACCUGGGGUCUACUAUGGGCUGCCAUAAUCCAAAAGCAUAAUAUGGCUCCAGUCACCUGGGCUUGCCACUGGAGUUCUGUGACCUGCCUCUUGGUUAGGCAACCUCAGGGUACUUGAACUUCUUACAGAGUGUCCCCAAACCCAGCUGGACCUCCCACAAUAUCUAGAAGGAAUCAUCUGGUCCCAUGAACCAGGCAGUGUCACUUCCUCUGAAUUCAAGGGGUGAAAAGCGAGUUCCUAAGGUCAGUCCAGAUUCAAAAGCGGAGGGACAGAGAACUACCUUAAACGGGUAUUAAAGAAUCUGUAGUCUUGGCGGCCGAGCAGUAGUGUGCUUAGGGACAGUGGGGACCUGCUCAAGGACUGCCUUGGGGGUGCUCUCCUGCCUCUCCUUGCCGGCUCCGCUGCGUAGGCUCUUUGUGCUGUCUUUUUUUUUUUUUUUUUUUUUGGUUCUUUUUUUCGGAGCUGGGGACCGAACCCAGGGCCUUGCGCUUCCUAGGCAAGCGCUCUACCACUGAGCUAAAUCCCCAACCCCUGUGCUGUCUUUUAACACCAAUGACAGCAUGUGUUCUUGCUGUUCUCAGACUGGCUUUUGCGACUAUUCUGGUCUAGAGCGUCCUUCAGUGCUUGCCGCCUGCCCCCAUUCAUUUUUUUCCUGCUCUAUAAUAUGCCAUACGACUGCCGCAUGGCUCUCUAAACUCUUCUGCACACGACGCCACACAUCUUGGUGGCUUCCAAUGGCUUGUUGUGCCAGGGCAGUGAGAGUGGAGGGCCAUGUGUCCCUGGCUGCUUUCCUGUUCUGUGCAGGGGGGGGGGGGCGGAGGGUAGUGCUGUGCACCCGCAACCCCGAGCCCUCUGCGAGCGGGCGGAGACCGAGGCCUCAGGCCCCAGGCCACCCGCAGCCACGGCUGUGUAACCGGGCUUACGUAACCGAGCCCAUGAAACCCAAAUUAAAAGAGGAAACCAUCCUCCUGCCGCUCAACUCGCUUAAUCCCUAUCUGUCUCUGCCCUGGGCCCCGCGCUCCCCUCCGAAGGUCUUGAACGCGUUCCAGAUUUCUAAUUUCGUUUGCUUAUGCAACCAAAAAUAUGAUGGCCGCGUUUCCCGGGGGUGAUGGAGUCUGUACUCCAGGCGCGCUAAAAACGGCAGCGCCGGGCUGCUGGAGGCGGGGGCGACGCGGGCGGAGCCGGGCGGCUGGAGACGCAGGACCGGCGGUGUCCUGUGGUCCCCAGCCUCCUCGUGAUUUCCACUGCCCGCUGAUCCCUGCGAGCGCGGCGGAGGGGGUGCAUCUUUCACCCGCGUGCCCCACCCCCAACACCUGCUGGGAGACGCGCGUCGCACCAGCGUUCAGAAAUAGGGAGAAAAAGAAAAAGAAAAGACGGAAAGGAAAUAGCACGCCUCUCACCAGGGGAGGGAUGGAGCGGACAGGAAAACCGAGUUGCUGAUUUAAAAGAAAGUAGGGUAGACUGAGAUCUGAGAUGCGUUGAGGUAGAUCCAAUUGUUAUUUUAUAUUUUAUAUAUAUAUAUAUAUAUAUAUAUAUAUGCAAGCCGAGGAAAUAGAAUAUGAUUGUGUCUGUGCUGUUUUAUUUAAAUCUGAAAACGGUGCUGGAGAUCUAUAGUCCAGGCGUUAGCGCAUGGAGACCUGGGUUACAUUCCUAGCGCCUCAUAAACUGAAUUUAGCGCUCCACAUCUGGAAUCCCGGCUGAAGGAGGAGGGGGCAGGAGGAUCAGGCGUCCAGAGGGUAGCUUCAGCUACCUGGUUGAGUUUUGAGACUUGAGAACCUCUCUCAAAAUGGAAAAGAACACAGGGUGGGGUGGGCAGUAAGAUGGCUCAUCCGGUAACUGAACUUGCUGCCAAAACUUGUGGCGUGUACGUGUCCAUCACCAAUAAGCCUAAAACAGGUUUUUUUUUAGGUUUACCCCCACCCCCACGCCGCAGUCUCUGGUAGGGUGGGAGUGGGGGUGGGGGAGGGAGAGAGCUUUCGGUGUGCCAAGCGCUCAUGUGGAGGUCAAAGGUCAGCAUUCAGGAGUCAGUUCUCUCCUGAUUGUCCACAAGUACCUAUAUUGGCUGAGGCCCGCUCCUGCUCCACCUUUAAAGAAAAUAAAAAUAAGGGCUGGAGAGAUGGCUCAGCGGUUAAGAGCACCCGACUGCUCUUCCAGAGGUCAUGAGUUCAAUUCCCAGCAACCACAUGGUGGCUCACAACCAUCUGUAAAGAGAUCUGAUGCCCUCUUCUGGUGUAUCUGAAGACAGCUACAGUGUACUUAUAUAUAAUAAAUAAAUAAAUCUUUAAAAAAAAAAAAAAGAAAGAAAAUAAAAAUAAAGUCUGCAGAUGAAGCGACUUCCCAGCUACGGAGGAGAGCAGCUGAGGCUAGCAGGCCUUGCAAGUUGGAGGCCCGCCUGAGGUACGUGGUAGCUCAAGGGCAACCUAGGCAAUUUCCCAAGACCUUGUCUUAAAAUUAAAACAAAAACAAAUCUUAUGAAAACCAAAUCUGAGGAGAUUGCUUAGUGGCAGAGCAUUGCAUAUCGGUCCCAAGGCCUUGGGUCUCAUUCCCGGUCAAGAGAGAG
This is a non-coding RNA of Rattus norvegicus (Norway rat), 12891 nucleotides long. The record is from RefSeq and is a predicted model, not a curated record. Lineage: Eukaryota; Metazoa; Chordata; Mammalia; Rodentia; Muridae.